GUUCAGAAAUUUUUCUCAAGGGACCAUAUUCACAAAUUAAGUGCUGAGAUAUGUGCGAACAAAUACGAAGGAGAUGUGAUUUUUACAACACAGGAGAACUGACAAGCGCUUCUGUAAAGACAGACAGAGAAUUCAAAAUGAGAAGCAAGUUAGCGCUUCUGUAAAGACAGACGGAGAAUUCAAAAUGAGAAGCAAGUUAGGUAAUGGCAUGGAAAGUUGAAGAGGCACUUCCACAUGAUCAUCAAUAGAAUUCACAUA
Rhododendron vialii is the source of this 258-nucleotide long non-coding RNA. RefSeq lists it as uncharacterized. The record is from RefSeq and is a predicted model, not a curated record. The transcript is spliced from 2 exons. Lineage: Eukaryota; Viridiplantae; Streptophyta; Magnoliopsida; Ericales; Ericaceae.